Molecule: ribosomal RNA, 506 nt
Filed under: uncultured bacterium
Lineage: Bacteria
Description: partial 16S ribosomal RNA
Rfam family: Bacterial small subunit ribosomal RNA
Source: RNAcentral
AGUGAACGCUGGCGGUAGGCCUAACACAUGCAAGUCGAACGGCAGCACAGGAGAGCUUGCUCUCUGGGUGGCGAGUGGCGGACGGGUGAGGAAUACAUCGGAAUCUACUCUGUCGUGGGGGAUAACGUAGGGAAACUUACGCUAAUACCGCAUACGACCUACGGGUGAAAGCAGGGGACCUUCUGGCCUUGCGCGAUUGAAUGAGCCGAUGUCGGAUUAGCUAGUUGGCGGGGUAAAGGCCCACCAAGGCGACGAUCCGUAGCUGGUCUGAGAGGAUGAUCAGCCACACUGGAACUGAGACACGGUCCAGACUCCUACGGGAGGCAGCAGUGGGGAAUAUUGGACAAUGGGCGCAAGCCUGAUCCAGCCAUACCGCGUGGGUGAAGAAGGCCUUCGGGUUGUAAAGCCCUUUUGUUGGGAAAGAAAUCCAGCUGGCUAAUACCCGGUUGGGAUGACGGUACCCAAAGAAUAAGCACCGGCUAACUUCGUGCCAGCAGCCGCUGUAA